Long non-coding RNA from Etheostoma spectabile (orangethroat darter), 166 nucleotides. RefSeq lists it as uncharacterized. NCBI's taxonomy places the organism in Eukaryota, Metazoa, Chordata, Actinopteri, Perciformes, Percidae. The record is from RefSeq and is a predicted model, not a curated record. The transcript is spliced from 3 exons.
AAAAUUGGGUCCUUUCCUGGUGGUUUUAGCUGCUGGAUAAUGUUAGCUUUCUGGCUAACUGGUCAGCUACCAAUACAGAUCGAAUCAAGAAAAACUUAAUUAUGUUGGGAAAAAUGCUGCUAUUUUAUUAGAAUCACAUGAAUAAACGUUACUUAAUCUAACAUGA